RNAcentral lists this transfer RNA (72 nucleotides) under Sphaerodactylus townsendi. RNAcentral's name for it is "tRNA-Thr". It matches the Rfam family "tRNA". Rfam says of the family: Transfer RNA (tRNA) molecules are approximately 80 nucleotides in length. Their secondary structure includes four short double-helical elements and three loops (D, anti-codon, and T loops). Further hydrogen bonds mediate the characteristic L-shaped molecular structure. tRNAs have two regions of fundamental functional importance: the anti-codon, which is responsible for specific mRNA codon recognition, and the 3' end, to which the tRNAs corresponding amino acid is attached (by aminoacyl-tRNA synthetases). tRNAs cope with the degeneracy of the genetic code in two manners: having more than one tRNA (with a specific anti-codon) for a particular amino acid; and 'wobble' base-pairing, i.e. permitting non-standard base-pairing at the 3rd anti-codon position. The record is from RNAcentral. Lineage: Eukaryota; Metazoa; Chordata; Lepidosauria; Squamata; Sphaerodactylidae.
GGGGCUGUGGCUCAGUUGUGGAGCAUCUCCUUGGUAAGCAGGAGGUCCCAGGUUCAAUUCCAAGUGUCUCCG